Magnolia sinica is the source of this 445-nucleotide long non-coding RNA. RefSeq lists it as uncharacterized. The record is from RefSeq and is a predicted model, not a curated record. The transcript is spliced from 2 exons. NCBI's taxonomy places the organism in Eukaryota, Viridiplantae, Streptophyta, Magnoliopsida, Magnoliales, Magnoliaceae.
UUGAACGGAUUAGGGUGGAUUGGAUGGGAUUUAAAGGUAAUGAUGGUGUUGUCAGUGAAUUGUCUUAAGAUCCAUGGGAUUGGGAUCAGAUUACCGACUCUGUUUGGCACGCCCGGCCAAUCCCGGGAUUUAACUUCCAAUCCCUUCCAAUCCGACCGGCCAAACGGGCCCUAAGGUUUUGGAUGCUUCUUGUACAUGCCUGACUAGCAACGAAAUCCACUUCAAGAAUAUCAGGUGAUGACUUUUGUUUGCUUUUUCUUUCUAAACUUUUUCAUACUUGGUGUGUUUUUCUUACUGGUUUUCUUUUAAAAGGCCAAUUUUUGUUUCCUUUGUUGCUUAUGAUUUGCAAUACCUACCAACAAGCAAUUGAGUAGGGGUUGUAUUGUGGUGCUUGUAAGCCUUGUAGCACCGUAUAGUUUGAUACAAUGACAAUUUAUUAAUGUGA